CUUCAAGAUACCUGCAGGGGGACAUUCUACCAAAAAGCAAGUGAUGGAAAAACCUGUGUUCUUCUUGCUCUGUUCUCCGCUGACUGAGACUCGUGGCUGACAGGUGACAGCUGUCUGAAGCUCCCAAGGUUUGUGCACUUAAAUCAGUGAUGACUGCACCUCACCCCACAUCUCACCCAGUGUCACAAAGUACGACAACCAGUCACGUCCCCGAUGUCAGCAGAAAUACUCCUCAAUGGAGGAAGCUACUGGAGGAUGUGUCUUAAAAAAACGAAUGAUGAACUAAGAAAAUAGAAGAUAUGGGAUCCUAGAAAAGAAGGUCCAACACAAGACAGA
Vicugna pacos (alpaca) is the source of this 336-nucleotide non-coding RNA. NCBI's taxonomy places the organism in Eukaryota, Metazoa, Chordata, Mammalia, Artiodactyla, Camelidae. The record is from RefSeq and is a predicted model, not a curated record.